Molecule: unclassified non-coding RNA, 1605 nt
Filed under: Hevea brasiliensis (rubber tree)
Lineage: Eukaryota; Viridiplantae; Streptophyta; Magnoliopsida; Malpighiales; Euphorbiaceae
Source: RNAcentral
UAGAUUUUUAAAGGCCAAAAAAUCUAUAUUAAUUAAUACAAUAUACGGCAUAAUUAAUAAACCCUAGAUAUACGAGAUAUCAAGUAACACACACAAAAGAUGGCAGUAAAGUUUGGGCAAUUCGCUAUACACAUGGAAAUCAACAACAAAAGAAAAAGAAAAGGUUAGGCCAAUUUGGAAGGUUCUCUUCGUCCCCCUUGCGUGUCAAGGAGAGCACGACGCACGUUAACAGCAAUUCAUCCAUCGAUUCCCAGUUCCUUCGAACCGAUCCAUCACAUUAUUUCUCGCUCUUGUUGCUUCUUCCCCUUUUUACUCUCGUGUGUGUGUAUAUAUAUAUAUAUAUAAACUACAGGCCGACCCCUCUUGCUUCAGAGCUGAGCUUAGACUUAGCUAUACCAAUAUCGACUAUAUAUUUAUAUAAUAUCUAUAAGCAAGGCCUUACCUUUCAGAGUUUGCUUCUUCAGCUUAUCAAGAAAUUUAUUAGGUGAUAGAUAAAAGGAUAAAGCAUAUACCUGAAAUGAGAGGUCUUUGUUUCUUUCUUCUUGUUUUCUUGUUUUUCUUCGUUUCUUGUCCAUUUUCAAAGACCCAAACUUAGAGCUGCCUUAACGUCUAGCCUCCAUGCAAACCCACCGGACUCCAUCUUCCACACAUCACACGGAACCAUCUGUGAGAAUUUCUCCUGCCACGCGUAUUGUAACCUAACCCAGCACGUAAACGCUGGGUAGUACAGGUAUGGCAAUAGUUUCUCUUUUAUCAACACCCUCACCGUAAUUUGUUCCACCGACAGCUGCUUCCCGUCGUCAUUUUCCGGCCUCAACAACACCAUCUUCUUAUAAGCUUCGUUCACCCAAUCUACUCUACUAAUACCGUCCGAUAUAAACCCAGGACACGUGUCCUCCUUCAGAUUAUUUAUUAUUUCCGCGUCCGUGCCCCCUAACCAUCCUACCAAAUCCAUGCACGUGUCUGUCACGCUCUCCACUGUCACCAACGUCUCUAUUGUUCUCUUCUCAGCUAUCGCCCCCGUCCGAUCUGUGACGGCAAGGCAACUUAGAUCAUCACUUAUUAGUUUUCUGGAGUUUAACAACUCGGAUGGAUCUGUACGCUGUUGCACAUGUUCUUUUCUGACGGUGCGAUCAACACCACUGCUAGAUCCUUUGUCUAUGGGUGAAUCUUGUGUUAGAUCAGUUUUCUCUGGAAGCAGCUGGAGCGUGGAAAGCUUCUUGUUUGAAUCAUCUUCUCUACCAGCUCUUUCAAGAUCUGAUGAUUUCUUUUUUCUUCUUCUUUUGUAGUAUUCGUUACUCUUCUUAACCCUAACGUACUUUCUCUUGGUCCUUACACUAGUAACCACACCGUUCUUGUUAUCUGGCUUCCAGAAGCUAGAGCUUGAGCCGUCAGUUGCUGGUUUCGGCGCAAUCGGCCGGAAUCUGAGCAUUACUCGGUUGAUUAUCGUCUUAUCCUGCGCAGCAGCCGCGCAUGUAAUCACGCGCCACCCUUCCCUACCAUCCAUCUGCCCUCAACCACUACGUAACUCCACUCUCUUGCUCACUUGCACAGCAAAACUCUCUGCCCUUCUGUGUGUUCUCUCUCUCUCUCUCUCUCUCUCUC